AACGAACGCUGGCGGCAUGCCUAACACAUGCAAGUCGAACGAGACCUUCGGGUCUAGUGGCGCACGGGUGCGUAACGCGUGGGAACCUGCCCUUAGGUUCGGAAUAACUCCCCGAAAGGGGUGCUAAUACCGGAUAAUGUCUUCGGACCAAAGAUUUAUCGCCUUUGGAUGGGCCCGCGUUGGAUUAGCUAGUUGGUAGGGUAAAAGCCUACCAAGGCGACGAUCCAUAGCUGGUCUGAGAGGAUGAUCAGCCACACUGGGACUGAGACCCGGCCCAGACUCCUACGGGAGGCAGCAGUGGGGAAUAUUGGACAAUGGGCGAAAGCCUGAUCCAGCAAUGCCGCGUGAGUGAUGAAGGGCUUAGGGUUGUAAAGCUCUUUUACCCGGGAUGAUAAUGACAGUACCGGGAGAAUAAGCUCCGGCUAACUCCGUG
RNAcentral lists this ribosomal RNA (433 nucleotides) under uncultured bacterium. RNAcentral describes it as "partial 16S ribosomal RNA". It matches the Rfam family "Bacterial small subunit ribosomal RNA", at positions 29 to 507 of the family's 1533-position model. The record is from RNAcentral.